Molecule: ribosomal RNA, 429 nt
Filed under: Acidobacteriota bacterium
Lineage: Bacteria; Pseudomonadati; Acidobacteriota
Description: Acidobacteria bacterium partial 16S ribosomal RNA
Rfam family: Bacterial small subunit ribosomal RNA
Source: RNAcentral
UGGGGAAUUUUGGACAAUGGGGGAAACCCUGAUCCAGCCAUCCCGCGUGUGCGAUGAAGGCCUUCGGGUUGUAAAGUACUUUUGGCAGGAAAGAAACGUCAUGGGUUAAUACCCUGUGAAACUGACGGUACCUGCAGAAUAAGCACCGGCUAACUACGUGCCAGCAGCCGCGGUAAUACGGAGGGUGCAAGCGUUAAUCGGAAUUACUGGGCGUAAAGCGUGAGCAGGCGGUUCGGAAAGAAAGAUGUGAAAUCCCAGAGCUCAACUUUGGAACUGCAUUUUUAACUACCGGGCUAGAGUGUGUCAGAGGGAGGUGGAAUUCCUCGUGUAGCAGUGAAAUGCGUAGAUAUGCGGAGGAACACCGAUGGCGAAGGCAGCCUCCUGGGAUAACACUGACGCUCAUGCACGAAAGCGUGGGUAGCAAACAGG